This is an RNA transcript of Malaclemys terrapin pileata, 3983 nucleotides long. It is a transcript of the gene named bifunctional heparan sulfate N-deacetylase/N-sulfotransferase 4-like, with no coding region annotated. The record is from RefSeq and is a predicted model, not a curated record. The transcript has 17 exons. NCBI's taxonomy places the organism in Eukaryota, Metazoa, Chordata, Testudines, Emydidae.
AGGAGCAUCAGGUUCCCUGUCUUUAAUUCAUUCCCACUGAACCUGCUUUGCAUGAGUACCUGAGGGACCCAAGAGGAAAAAAAGCUGAGGGGAAAAAAAAGGAGAAAACGUAGAUCUACUAUAUCAUGCUAUUCACCUGGGAUACAAAAGUGGACUAAGAAAUUUAAUAAUGUUAAGCAUCAUCUCCAUUGAUUUUUUGCAAGUGCUGCAUUCAGAGAAGAUCUCUUCCAAUUUAGAUUUCCAGAUACUUUGACUUUGAGCUCUAACAACUUUAUAACCUCCCCAAAGCCCCUCAUAAAUGCAUUGCAAUGGUCACAUGAACAUUUCGGGCGUGGUACCAGCACCAUUUUUUGUCCUCUCUACUAUGGCACUUUAAGAGGAUAAAGCCAAAAAAGUUUUUUUUUUUUUUAAUUGAAAGUAUUCCAAAAAAUGAAUCUUAUUGUGAAACUUCGUAGAAGUUUCAGAACACUGGUAAUUCUUUUAACCACCUUCUGUUUAGUAAGCAUAGUCAUUUCCGCCUAUUACUUAUAUACAGGCUACAAGCAGGAGAUGACCCUAAUUGAAACCACUGGAGAAGCAGAAUGUGAGGGCCUUAAACUUUUACCAUACAGGUCCAUGGAGCUGAAGACUGCUAAGCCGAUGGAUCCAUCUAAUACUGACCCUAUCGUCUUGCUAUUUGUGGAGAGCCAGUACUCCCAACUUGGACAAGAUAUCAUAGCCAUCCUCGAGUCUAGUCGAUUCCAGUACCAUAUGGUGAUUGCACCUGGAAAAGGUGACAUUCCUCCUCUUACGGAUAGUGGCAAAGGGAAAUAUAUGCUUGUUAUAUACGAGAAUAUUUUAAAGUAUGUGUCCAUGGACUCAUGGAAUAGAGAGCUUCUGGAAAAAUAUUGUGUGGAAUACAGUGUUAGCAUAAUUGGUUUUCAUAAAGCCAAUGAGAACAGCUCACCAAGUAUUAAAUUAAAAGGAUUUCCACUAGACCUUUACAAUAAUGUUGCCCUCAAAGAUUGCUUUGUAAACUCUCAAUCUCCUCUACUGCACAUUACCAAAGCACCAAGGAUUGAGAAAGGCCCACUACCUGGGGAAGACUGGACAGUUUUCCUAUUUAAUCACUCCACCUACCAACCUGUGCUUUUAACUGAAUUACAGACUUCCAGAUCCUUCCCAGCAUCAUUGCCUAAGUCUCCACUUUAUGCUACUGUGAUCCAGGACUUGGGGCUUCAUGAUGGGAUUCAGAGAGUCCUUUUUGGAAACAACUUGACCUUUUGGCUACACAAGUUGAUCUUUAUAGAUGCUGUCUCUUUCCUAACGGGGAAGAAGCUUGCAUUGUCCUUGGAUAGGUACAUUCUUGUUGAUAUAGAUGACAUCUUUGUUGGAAAGGAGGGAACAAGAAUGAACGUCCAGGAUGUGAAGGCAUUACUAGAGACUCAAAAUUUACUGCGCACUCAGGUUGCAAAUUUUACCUUCAACCUUGGAUUUUCAGGAAAGUUUUACCACACAGGAACCGAAGAGGAGGAUGAAGGUGAUGACCUGUUGUUGGGGUCUGUGGAUGAGUUCUGGUGGUUUCCCCAUAUGUGGAGUCACAUGCAGCCUCAUUUGUUCCAUAAUGAGUCAUCACUGGUGGAGCAGAUGAUUCUCAACAAGGACUUUGCACUAGAACAUGGUAUUCCAACUGACAUGGGCUAUGCAGUGGCUCCGCACCACUCUGGGGUUUACCCUGUACAUGUUCAGCUUUAUGAGGCCUGGAAGAAGGUUUGGGGUAUCAAAGUCACAAGCACAGAAGAGUAUCCACAUCUAAAACCUGCACGGUACAGACGGGGCUUCAUCCACAAUGGCAUCAUGGUACUUCCUCGACAGACCUGUGGCCUUUUCACCCACACAAUUUUCUACAAGGAGUAUCCUGGGGGCCCUCAAGAAUUGGACAAAAGCAUCCGAGGGGGUGAACUCUUCCUCACCAUCCUCCUGAAUCCCAUCAGCAUCUUCAUGACCCAUUUGUCCAACUACGGGAAUGACCGCCUGGGGUUAUAUACCUUUUUGAAUCUGGCCAACUUUGUUAAGAACUGGACUAACCUAAAACUACAGACCCUGCCUCCAGUUCAGCUGGCUCACAAGUACUUUGAACUCUUCCCUGAGCAAAAGGACCCUCUCUGGCAGAAUCCAUGUGAUGAUAAACGGCAUAGGGAUAUCUGGUCCAGAGAUAAAACUUGUUACCAUCUUCCAAAAUUCCUUGUGAUUGGACCUCAGAAAACAGGAACAACAGCACUUUAUUUAUUUCUCCUUAUGCAUCCUUCUAUCAUCAGUAAUCUCCCUAGUCCAAAAACUUUUGAAGAAGUUCAGUUCUUCAACGGAAACAACUAUCACAAGGGAAUUGACUGGUACAUGGAUUUCUUUCCUACCCCUUUGAAUGUCACCACUGACUUUCUGUUUGAGAAAAGUGCCAACUACUUCCAUUCAGGGGAGGCUCCCAGACGAGCAGCUUCCCUGGUCCCCAAGGCCAAGAUCAUCACCAUUCUCAUUGACCCAUCAGAUCGGGCAUACUCCUGGUAUCAGCACCAGCGAUCUCAUGAGGACCCUGCUGCUCUGAAGUUCAAUUUCUAUGAAGUGAUUACAUCAGACCAUUGGGCUCCCUCAGAGUUAAGGACUCUCCAGAAGAGAUGUCUGAUCCCUGGGUGGUACGCUACCCAUAUAGAAAGAUGGCUAACUCAUUUUCCCACUUCCCAGGCAACAAGUACCGGCCUACGAGCAGCAGAGUUUGCAUGGGAUGCAAAGUUCCCAAAAAAAUAUGCCUGCAAGUUGGGGGAUCUAUGGCAGUUGCUAAUUAUUGAUGGACAGCAGCUAAGAAGUGACCCAGCUACAGUGAUGGAGGAAGUGCAGAAGUUUCUGGGAGUCUCACCUCAUUAUAAUUACUCUGAAGCUCUAACGUUUGACCCUCAGAAAGGCUUUUGGUGUCAGCUGCUGGAAGGAGGGAAGACAAAAUGCCUGGGAAAAAGCAAAGGCCGAAAAUACCCACCAAUGGAUCAGGAGUCUAGAGCUUUUCUUUCAAGCUACUACAGAGAUCACAAUGUGGAACUGUCCAAACUACUGCACAGAUUGGGACAACCCUUGCCAUACUGGCUGAGACAGGAGCUUCAGAAAGUGAGAUAGCACUGAUGUUCAGAGGACCAAAGUCUAAUGACAGUUACCGGCACCAUAAAACCCCUCGCUUCCCUGAUUCACUUGUGAUUGUCAGUAGAGGACCUCAUGAAUAACUGUCUCAAAAUUAAAUACAAAUAUAAAACUGUUUAUAUAUGCACGCACUGACAGCUAUUAGCAUCAACUCCUUUGUCAGCUUCUGGGACACAAUAUAGAGCUAUGUGGCAUUAUUCUUUAUCCAGCCUGGGACUCAUGCAUAGUCUAGUCCCUCUGUUUACCAGAAAGUUCCAGAAACUGUAUGUAUGAUUGAUAGUCUUCAUCAUAUAUGACAAAUUACAGCCUGUCAGGACACAAGCAAAGGACAGAAACAUCUCUCGGUGGAUUAUGAGAGUAUCCUUUUAAUGCGACUGCUAAAGUGUGGACCUAUCUACAGAUUGGAUCCCCCAUCACUAUCAUAUCUGGAAAAGCUAGCAGAAAAUAAGGAUUUGCAAACAACAGAGAUUCUUAAGUGUUCAGUGUUCCAGUGACUGGAUACUUUUUAUAAAACAUAAUCAGCAUCAUUUGGAAAUAUUUUUUUAAAAAGUCCUAGUCAAAGACCUGAGACAUGGGCAAAAAGCUAAUGGCCUUGCCUAUGGGGUUUUUUUUUUUGGUUUCUUUUUCUAUCUGACAACAGCACAUUCAGUUUAACUCUGAUAUAUGCUUGAGGUUUGGGAAAAAGCAAAAUAAAUUUUGAUCACAAAGUAUUUUUGUUUGGGGCAGGGAGAAAAUCUGUAUUUGUUGAAAUUGUUUUAAGUAAUUGUGUACACACCUUCUUAGUUCUUCUCACUUCUACAGAAUAAACACCUCUGCUGGUA